UAGGAUUCCCUCAGUAAGGGCGACUGAACAGGGAUAAGCUCAGCAUGGAAAUCGGGGCCCUGGGCCUUGAAUUGUAGUCUCGAGUUGUACUGCCAACGGAGGCGCAGAUGUAAGCCUCUUGGAAAAGAGCAUCAACGAGGGUGAGAGUCCCGUUUGUCAUCUGCAGUCCCCCGUGCACGGUGUACUUCUAAAGAGUCACGUUCCUCGGGAUUGGAGCGCAAAGUGGGUGGUAAAUUUCAUCUAAAGCUAAAUAUAGGUUCGAGACCGAUAGCAAACAAGUACCAUGAGGGAAAGGUGAAAAGGACUUUGAAAAGAGAGUUAAAAGUGCCUGAAAUUGCUGAAAGGGAAGCGAAUGGAACCAGUGCUUCUUGGCAAGAUUGGUGCGUGCUAAUGUGAUUGGCUGCUGCUUCAGCGCAAGCGUGGCAGUGGUUUUUGAUCAGGAUGUGCGUGUUGUUUCUUGCCUUGUGUGUCAACGUCAGUUCUCAAUCGAGGAAAACGCCAGGGACAUGGUAGCUCGCUCUCGGGUGAUCGAAUGUGCUUGGUCGAACUCAUUUGUGAACUGGUUCUUGCGUGUCUGGUUGCAGUGUCCUCUGUUCCUUCCUUCUGUCUGUAGAGUGGUCUUCCUCUCUGCAGCUGAAGUGGGCAACUGGGACAUCUCCCUUACACAACGACGAUGACUAAAUGGUUCUAUUCGACCCGUCUUGAAACACGGACCAAGGAGUCUAACAUAUGUGCGAGUUCACGGGCGGGUAAACCUGCUUGCGCAAUGAAAGUGACUGCUGGGAUCUUUGCACCAGCAACCGACCAAUCAAUUGAGAGAGGUUUGAGUAUGAGCAUAUCUGUUAGGACCCGAAAGAUGGUGAACUAUGCGUGGUUAGGGCAAAGUCAGGGGAAACUCUGAUGGAGGCUCGUAGCGAUACUGACGUGCAAAUCGUUCGUCAAAACUGCGUAUAGGGGCGAAAGACUAAUCGAACCAUCUAGUAGCUGGUUCCCUCCGAAGUUUCCCUCAGGAUAGCUGGAGUUGAACAGUUUUAUCAGGUAAAGCGAAUGAUUAGAGGAAUCGGGGACGCGUCGUCCUCGACCUAUUCUCAAACUUUAAAUGGGUAAGAUCCAGUGGUUACUUGGGUGAACUUCUGGGAUAAAUGACAACUCUAAGUGGGCCAUUUUUGGUAAGCAGAACUGGCGAUGAGGGAUGAACCUAACGUUUGGUUAAGGUGCUUAACUGCUCGCUCAUCAGAUACCAUAAAGGGUGUUGGUUCAUUUUAACAGCAGGACGGUGGUCAUGGAAGUCGAAAUCCGCUAAGGAGUGUGUAACAACUCACCUGCCGAAUGGACUAGCCCCGAAAAUGGAUGGCGCUAAAGCGGGUGACCGAUACCAAACCAUUGUUGCAAUUGUUUUGCAUCAAUGAGUAGGAGGGCAUGGGGGUU
Molecule: ribosomal RNA, 1428 nt
Filed under: Heterocapsa arctica
Lineage: Eukaryota; Dinophyceae; Peridiniales; Heterocapsaceae
Description: LSU rRNA
Rfam family: Eukaryotic large subunit ribosomal RNA
Source: RNAcentral